Molecule: ribosomal RNA, 460 nt
Filed under: uncultured bacterium
Lineage: Bacteria
Description: partial 16S ribosomal RNA
Rfam family: Bacterial small subunit ribosomal RNA
Source: RNAcentral
CCUACGGGUGGCAGCAGUGAGGAAUAUUGGUCAAUGGGCGAGAGCCUGAACCAGCCAAGUCGCGUGAAGGAUGACGGCCCUACGGGUUGUAAACUUCUUUUGUCAGGGAGCAAUUGAGUCCACGUGUGGGCUUAGCGAGAGUACCUGAAGAAAAAGCAUCGGCUAACUCCGUGCCAGCAGCCGCGGUAAUACGGAGGAUGCGAGCGUUACCGGUAUUUAUUGGGUUAAAAGGGUGCGUGGCAGGAAGGUCAAGUCAGCGGUAAAAAUUCGGGGCUCAACCCCGUCGUGCCGUUGAAACUGAUGUUCUUGAGUGGGCGAGAAGUAUGCGGAAUGCGUGGUGUAGCGGUGAAAUGCAUAGAUAUCACGCAGAACUCCGAUUGCGAAGGCAGCAUACCGGCGCCCAACUGACGCUGAAGCACGAAAGCGUGGGUAUCGAACAGGAUUAGAUACCCUUGUAGUC